RNAcentral lists this long non-coding RNA (325 nucleotides) under Ricinus communis (castor bean). Its description in RNAcentral is "long non-coding RNA (RCOM_LNC003665)". The record is from RNAcentral. Lineage: Eukaryota; Viridiplantae; Streptophyta; Magnoliopsida; Malpighiales; Euphorbiaceae.
CGCUACAAUGUUCACCCGAUGCCCCAAAGGAGGCACAAAGGCGAAAUAUGGGACAGCAACAUCAUUGAAUCCACUAGUGUGGGUAUGCAACACAGGAACCCGACAUUUGCCCACUUACAAAACAUUCACUUGGGCUAGGACUGAAAGGAUCGCGGGGAAGCAAUUCGAUGCGCGAGCACGGAGCCUGCCUACCCAAACGAUCGUGAUACGACUCAUGCACCACCACGUACAAUGAGCAACAAUUCCAAUCAGCGAACUACAACCCCCAACAAGCAUGUUAUGCCCGUCAAGCAUUGCCGAAACACCGAAUGAAACAGCUGCCCCC